This 722-nucleotide long non-coding RNA is filed under the name Salvator merianae (Argentine black and white tegu). Its description in RNAcentral is "lncRNA (ENSSMRG00000022187.1)". Lineage: Eukaryota; Metazoa; Chordata; Lepidosauria; Squamata; Teiidae. The record is from RNAcentral.
UCUACGACUGUGCCUACCCCCUAAGGAUGUCCCUGGGUCUGUAUCGCCGUUUGUAACACGUCCAAAAACCCAUAAAAAUGCCCUUAGCCCCCACCUGACUAANAACAACAACAACAACAAUAAUAAUAAGUGGUGCCUGGCGGUGCCCCCGAAUUUCCAAGCUCCCUCUGCCCUCUCCUCCGCUGCCCACUGCCUGAAUUUCGCACCUCCACCUACGUUUUGCAUGGAGGGGGAGGGAGAAGGUGGGCGCAGCUCCUAUAACCAGGCAACCCUCUUUAGACGUGGGGCUGUGCAGGAUGGGACUGUGAUUUAUAGGAUUUCUCCACUUUGUUCCUGCCUCCUCCUUGCUCUUCAGCCACUCCAAAGUCUCUUCGCCCUCGUUCAAAGCCACGAUUCCUUCCCCUCCGCGGCGGUGUGCGCGUCUCUCUCUUUCUCCCUCCCUCAUCUCCCUGGAGAGAGGGGGGGGGGGCGGGAAACUCAACUCCCAAACAUCGUCCAGAUGUCGAAGAAACGCAAAACCCCCGAGAGUGGAGGAUCCGGCCUCCACGAGGAGGAAUCCAAAACCCAGCUGGGGGACUGCGAUGAGCAAGGGAGUCAAGAUAACAGAUUUGAGAACCAUCUGGGAAAUUAAGCGCUGUGCUUCAGGCAAUACUUCACCUUGUUUUCAGCAAAUGCUAAAGUUUGCCUCUAGCAUUAUGGAGUUUGGACAGCUUGGAAGGGGC